This is a non-coding RNA of Acanthosepion pharaonis, 114 nucleotides long. The record is from the annotation of a GenBank genome assembly. NCBI's taxonomy places the organism in Eukaryota, Metazoa, Mollusca, Cephalopoda, Sepiida, Sepiidae.
UUACGGUCAAAUCGCGCUGAAAACACCGGUUCUCGUUCGAUCACCGAAGUUAAGCAUCGUAGAGCCAGGUCAGUACUUAGAUGGGGACCGCUUGGGAACACCUGGUACUGUAAG